UAACAUUGAGCCAACUUAAGCAUCUUCGUCCGGAAAUAAAAGAAAUUUGAAUGAAACAUAACAUUUUUGCAUGAUUAUUUGGUGGUGGAUAGCAAUACCCCUAACUCGUUUUCUUAAUUUGUGAACUACUUAAAAUUUGUUUCUAUCCUGUUUUUGUUCGAUUUAAUUUAAAUAGCAAAUCAACUCCAAAAAUCCCAAAAAUUUGUGUGAGUGUAGCUUUGUGUGUCUAGUAUCUGCAUAUAAAAUCGUAGACUUUAGAUAAGUAUAAGUAUAAGUCGGUCUAAUAAUUAUUUUUCGGUGGCUGGUCAGUAGGGACAGCAACCCAGUUUUUGUGACAUUUUAGGUAGUU
Molecule: long non-coding RNA, 349 nt
Filed under: Malus domestica (apple)
Lineage: Eukaryota; Viridiplantae; Streptophyta; Magnoliopsida; Rosales; Rosaceae
Description: long non-coding RNA (MDOM_LNC002473)
Source: RNAcentral